AUGGGGUUAAGUUAUGUAGACUGAGUGUUUUCAAAACAUUUAGAAGCUUUUGUGUUACUCCAUG
RNAcentral lists this transfer RNA (64 nucleotides) under Moniezia sp. MN-2015. Its description in RNAcentral is "tRNA-Trp". Lineage: Eukaryota; Metazoa; Platyhelminthes; Cestoda; Cyclophyllidea; Anoplocephalidae. The record is from RNAcentral.